RNAcentral lists this transfer RNA (72 nucleotides) under Camelus bactrianus (Bactrian camel). It matches the Rfam family "tRNA". From Rfam's summary of the family: Transfer RNA (tRNA) molecules are approximately 80 nucleotides in length. Their secondary structure includes four short double-helical elements and three loops (D, anti-codon, and T loops). Lineage: Eukaryota; Metazoa; Chordata; Mammalia; Artiodactyla; Camelidae. The record is from Rfam by way of RNAcentral. RNAcentral also lists the same sequence under 1 other name.
GGGGGUGUAGCUCAGGGGCAGAGCGCGUGCUUAGCGUGCACGAGGUCCCGGGUUCAGUCCCCAGUAACGCCA